This 684-nucleotide long non-coding RNA is filed under the name Homo sapiens (human). Its description in RNAcentral is "HSALNT0297682". Lineage: Eukaryota; Metazoa; Chordata; Mammalia; Primates; Hominidae. The record is from RNAcentral.
CCUGACCUUGUGAUCUGCCCAGCUUGGCCUCCCAAAGUGCUGGGAUUACAGGCGUGAGCCACUGCACUGGGCCCAGAUCUCCUGUAGUUCUUUCAGUGCAUUCUCACAACCUUAUGUUGUUCUCUGUUUUAUGUGUAGAGAUAUUUUCCUCUAAGUGAACGGUACAGCUGUUGAAGGCAAGGACAAUGGAUACUUAAAAACAGCCUGAUGGCCUGGUGUUGGGCCUGAUCACCCCAAAAUUUCAGGCACCCAACGUGGGGCUAUGAAGACCAUGGUAAAGAAAUGCUAGAGUAUAUGGAAAUGAAGGACAUAUCAUCAAAGGACACCCGAGGAUGGCUGAAAGAAGCUUGGUGGGUAAGCUGGGCACUCUGAAGAACCAAGGUAACAAUGGGACAAAAUGAAAGUAAACAUUCUGCUUGUUUAAACUUUCUAAGGCAUUUAUUAUGGAGAGGGGGAGUGAAAGUUAGUACUCAGAAUUUAUUAACACUCUUUAGUACAGUGGAGCAGUUUUGCCUGUGGUUCCUAGAACAAGGGACAAUGGAGUUCGAUGAAUGGGAAAGAAUUGGCAGAGAUCUAAAAAAGGUGCAUAAAGAAGGAGCCAAAAUUCCAGUUUCUUUUUGGUCAGUGUGGGCAUUGAUAAAGGCAGGUCUUGAGCCAUUUCAAACAAAUGAUGAGGCAGAUUCA